RNAcentral lists this ribosomal RNA (482 nucleotides) under uncultured bacterium. Its description in RNAcentral is "SSU rRNA". It matches the Rfam family "Bacterial small subunit ribosomal RNA", at positions 26 to 518 of the family's 1533-position model. The record is from RNAcentral.
AGGACGAACGCUGGCGGCGUGCUUAACACAUGCAAGUCGAACGAGAUCCAACUGGUGGCAACACCAGUGAAGAUCUAGUGGCGAACGGGUGAGUAACACGUGAGCAACCUGCCCCGAAGACUGGGAUAACAGCGGGAAACCGCUGCUAAUACCGGAUGUCCCCAUCGGACCACAUGGCCUGAUGAGGAAAUGGAUUCCGCUUCGGGAGGGGCUCGCGGCCUAUCAGCUUGUUGGUGGGGUAACGGCCCACCAAGGCGACGAUCCGUAGCUGGUCUGAGAGGACGAUCAGCCACACUGGGACUGAGACACGGCCCAGACUCCUACGGGAGGCAGCAGUGGGGAAUCUUGCACAAUGGGCGAAAGCCUGAUCCAGCAAUGCCGCGUGAGUGAUGAAGGCCUUAGGGUUGUAAAGCUCUUUCGCGCGCGACGAUGAUGACGGUAGCGCGAGAAGAAGCCCCGGCUAACUUCGUGCCAGCAGCCGG